RNAcentral lists this unclassified non-coding RNA (528 nucleotides) under Melitaea cinxia (Glanville fritillary). Its description in RNAcentral is "misc RNA ENSMCXG00005014892.1". Lineage: Eukaryota; Metazoa; Arthropoda; Insecta; Lepidoptera; Nymphalidae. The record is from RNAcentral.
AGGAUCCUCCAGCGACAGGCUGGCCUCGGCGAAAAGGCCAGACUUCUCCUUCGUGGAAUAUUAAUAGUCCGUCUCCUCACUGUGCCUCGCAGAGAAUGUAAGACCAGUUCCAGACAGGACUGGUAAAGAAACUGCUGCGGGAAACCAGCGAAACUGAAGCUUUGUAUAAAGUUUUGUAUAAAUUUAAGUUAACAUUUAAGUGGAUAUUUAUAGGCAAACGCCUAUAAAUGUCCACUUAUCUCUUUAUUUACGUUGCACCGUCAAGUAAAAAAAAAUUUUAAAGAAAAAUCACUUGAUAACUCUACGAUACUAUUAAUAAGAAGCUCCAAAAAACAAGCCUGCAUGAGUAACAUACAAUGAAAUAGAUACACGUGAAUAAUUACAUUAAAAAAAAUCCUUUUAACAGAGUAAACAGCAACAAUGGUGAUGGAUUUAACAAUUUUGAUGUUAAGAAAAAAUUGAAUUAUGUUGUUAAUAUUAUACAUUAUUUUAUAAAUGUUGUUACAAAAUGUUAUGGUAAUUUUAGCA